Long non-coding RNA from Salvia splendens (bonfire salvia), 2259 nucleotides. RefSeq lists it as uncharacterized. NCBI's taxonomy places the organism in Eukaryota, Viridiplantae, Streptophyta, Magnoliopsida, Lamiales, Lamiaceae. The record is from RefSeq and is a predicted model, not a curated record. The transcript has 2 exons.
CAAUUUUGUUAAUUCAUUAUUAUUAGUUAGUAUCACAAAACAUAUCAGUUCGGUUCGCUGAUUCAUGAUCAUUUGUAGGAUUUUGUAAAUUAAAAACAACAUCCGAUAAAUUUUGAAAUGCUAAUUAAUAAUAAAUCAGAAAACUAAUUGAUUCUCAUAGUUCUGAAUUGAUGACGACUUAUCGUCAUUUGAAUGAUUUCUUCCUAUUCGAUGGCAGUCUCUGAAAAUUGGAAAAUCAAAAUGUAUUGUUUAGGAUUAAUUAGUUUGUUUAGCCUUUAGUUUUCUGCCUAUAUAAGGCAUCUCAUUGUAUUUUUGUAGUCCCCAAUUAAUAAAAAUGUAGUCAUUAGAGAUUUUUCUCCCCUCUUUUUUAUCGGCAGUUUCUCCCCCCUUUUCUCUUUUCAAUUCAUCUUCUCCGUCAAUUCGAUUCUCCAAUGUUUGUUCAUCAAUCGAUUCUCCAAACUUCACAUGGUAUCAGAGCGCAAAUCGCUGCGCAUCUAUCGCCUCUGAUUACCUCUAUCCUAUUUUUCUCUUUUGAAUCAUAGUUAGGGUUUGUUCUUAGAAUUCAGUUUUUUUAUCGGAGAUAAUCUGUCAUUGUUCUUCCGCAAGUCUCUGGAGAUUUCGUCUAUUACUUCUCACCGGAUUCCGUCUCCUCAUCGCCUAUGUGCUCCAGAUCAGUGAUUUCUCUAUCUUUUGAUCUCAAUUGAGUUUUUAAUUUUUCUUUCAAUUCCGAUUGUAAUCGGUUCUAUUUGCUUCAGAUCUCUAUGUUUGGUGUAGUAUGUUGAUGUAUGGAGUUGUAUGCUCCGUUUUUUUCUCAAUCCUUUGUUCAUUGGAUUUGUAUGAUCCAAGUUUGUAUCCCUCCGAUUGUAUUCGGUCGAGUGUUUUUCGUUUUGAGAAUAUGUUUUUCUCAAAUUUGUUGUUGAAUCUGAAUAUGUUUUCAGAUUUGUCUCUAAUUUUCCGAUUGUAUGUCGGAUGUUUGUUUUGUUGUUGACAUCGUUCGGUAUUUCCUAUUGUAUGUCGGAUGUUUGUUUUGUUGUUCACCGAUUGUUUGGUUGGAUUUGUAUGUUGGAUUGUUCGGUUCGGUUUGUGAAUGUUUGGGUGAGGAGGAAAGGCUAUUUGGUGUUAGUGUGUGUGUUGUUGAAUUGGAGAUCCUUGUGGAGUGGAUUUGGUGGAAGGAUGCUUUGUUCACAAACAUGGUUGCAACUGCAAACCUUUGUAGUUGUUGAUGGUCUUGCGUUGGGUGGGGGAUUGGAGGAGUUCGAGAUACAUUCGACAAGCGAACUAGCCCGCCACAGCCCCUCGUGGCUCGAAUACUUUAGCUUCCCUCCGACGGGUUCCGGCGUGAACUAGCCAAUGUUGGCUCGUAGACUGCACUCCCUCCGACGAGUUCAGCCCCGGUAGACUACCCGCCACCCUCAGACGCGUCCAAGCUCGAAAGCUUGCCAAGCCCCAAGGAAACAACCUUGAAUAGGCCCACAGGGAAAUUAAUCCCAAAGUCGCGCCAUCCAGGAGUCGAACUCAAGACCUCCAGGAUGGUGCCAUAUCCUUGGCACCCUUCUCAACCACUUGAGCUAGGGGGCUUGGAUGUUGUUGAGCCUUAAUUGUUGAAGCCUGGCCAUCUGCCUUGGUCCUCUCUCUCUAGCUUUCGGAUGAAGGAGGUUGAGCUCUCUCAGCUGAAAUAUGAAAUAUGUUUUUGGCUUUGAGGCUGAUCUUGCGUUGAAGAAACUGAUGAGCAGUCUCUGGAAUCUUCUGCUUGCUUUUCUGCAAACAUGGCCGGGGAUGAAAGACGAGUUAGCUGACAUCAUUCAGCCCCAAGAUUUGAAGGAGCUUUGUUCAGUGCUUGUUGUAUAUUCAGGAGAGGCUUGCCCGAACUCUGAGGAACAGCUAUCCCUGCCCUUUCCAUCUCAGCCUCUGUUUGACAAGGCUUUGAUAAAUGUUGGUGGUGAUCUUGCGAAGCUUGAGCCUGGUCGUGUUUUCUACUGAAAUCGAUGCUCGUCUUGCAUAUGAUUUACUCAAGAUGGUUUUUCUCUUGACUUGGAGUUAGAAUAAGUUUUAGUUAGCUCUUUUCCUUUUGUAUUGAUUUUUUGGUCAAGAUUGUUGCAUUUGAUAUGCUCCAUCUUGAGGGAGGCUGUGAAAAUUGGAAAAUCAAAAUGUAUUGUUUAGGAUUAAUUAGUUUGUUUAGCCUUUAGUUUUCAGCCUAUAUAAGGCAUCUCAUUGUAUUUUUGUAGUCACCAAUUAAUAAAAAUGUAGUCAUUAGAGAUU